This 439-nucleotide ribosomal RNA is filed under the name uncultured bacterium. RNAcentral describes it as "partial 16S ribosomal RNA". It matches the Rfam family "Bacterial small subunit ribosomal RNA", at positions 338 to 795 of the family's 1533-position model. The record is from RNAcentral.
CCUACGGGGGGCAGCAGUAGGGAAUAUUGCUCAAUGGGGGAAACCCUGAAGCAGCAACGCCGCGUGGAGGAUGAAGGUUUUCGGAUUGUAAACUACUGUCCCCAGGGACGAAGAUGACGGUACCUGGGGAGGAAGCUCCGGCUAACUACGUGCCAGCAGCCGCGGUAAUACGUAGGGAGCGAGCGUUGUCCGGAAUUACUGGGUGUAAAGGGAGCGUAGGCGGGGAUGCAAGUUGGGUGUUAAAUCUACCGGCUCAACUGGUAGUCGCACUCAAAACUGCAGCUCUUGAGUGAAGUAGAGGCAGGCGGAAUUCCUAGUGUAGCGGUGAAAUGCGUAGAUAUUAGGAGGAACACCAGUGGCGAAGGCGGCCUGCUGGGCUUUUACUGACGCUGAGGCUCGAAAGUGUGGGGAGCAAACAGGAUUAGAUACCCGAGUAGUC